RNAcentral lists this ribosomal RNA (522 nucleotides) under uncultured bacterium. RNAcentral's name for it is "bacterial SSU rRNA". It matches the Rfam family "Bacterial small subunit ribosomal RNA", at positions 988 to 1509 of the family's 1533-position model. The record is from RNAcentral.
CCAGCGAAUUCGGUAGAGAUACCUUAGUGCCUUCGGGAAUGCUGAGACAGGUGCUGCAUGGCUGUCGUCAGCUCGUGUUGUGAAAUGUUGGGUUAAGUCCCGCAACGAGCGCAACCCUUAUCCUUUGUUGCCAGCGGUCCGGCCGGGAACUCAAAGGAGACUGCCAGUGAUAAACUGGAGGAAGGUGGGGAUGACGUCAAGUCAUCAUGGCCCUUACGAGUAGGGCUACACACGUGCUACAAUGGCGCAUACAAAGAGAAGCGACCUCGCGAGAGCAAGCGGACCUCAUAAAGUGCGUCGUAGUCCGGAUUGGAGUCUGCAACUCGACUCCAUGAAGUCGGAAUCGCUAGUAAUCGUAGAUCAGAAUGCUACGGUGAAUACGUUCCCGGGCCUUGUACACACCGCCCGUCACACCAUGGGAGUGGGUUGCAAAAGAAGUAGGUAGCUUAACCUUCGGGAGGGACGCUUACCACUUUGUGAUUCAUGACUGGGGUGAAGUCGUAACAAGGUAAGCGUAGAUGA